UCCAUGUGUAGCGGUGGAAUGCGUAGAUAUAUGGAAGACCACCAGUGGCGAAGGCGCCUGUCUAGUCUGUAACUGACGCUGAGGCUCGAAAGCAUGGGUAGCGACCAGGAUUAGAUACCCUGGUAGUCCAUCCCGUAAACGAUGAGUGUUAAGUGUUGGAGGGUUUCCGCCCUUCAGUGCUGCAGCUAACGCAUUAAGCACUCCGCCUGGGGAGUCCGCCCGCAAGGUUGAAACUCAAAGGAAUUGCCGGGGGCCCGCCCAAGCGGUGGAGCAUGUGGUUUAAUUGGAAGUUACGCGAAGACCCUUACCAGGUCUUGCCUUCUUCUGCCAAUCUUAGAGAUAAGACGUUCCCUUCGGGGCCAGAAUGCCAGGUGGUCCAUGGUUGUCGUCAGCUCGUGUCGUGAGAUGUUGGGUUAAGUCCCCCACCGAGCCCAACCCUUAUUAUCAGUUGCCACC
Molecule: ribosomal RNA, 456 nt
Filed under: Levilactobacillus brevis
Lineage: Bacteria; Bacillati; Bacillota; Bacilli; Lactobacillales; Lactobacillaceae
Description: bacterial SSU rRNA
Rfam family: Bacterial small subunit ribosomal RNA
Source: RNAcentral